RNAcentral lists this ribosomal RNA (328 nucleotides) under uncultured eukaryote. RNAcentral describes it as "partial 18S ribosomal RNA". It matches the Rfam family "Eukaryotic small subunit ribosomal RNA", at positions 1470 to 1796 of the family's 1831-position model. The record is from RNAcentral.
CCCUUAGAUGUCCUGGGCCGCACGCGCGCUACACUGAUACGUUCAACGAGCCUUCCUUGGUCGAGAGGCCUAGGUAAUCUUUUGAACGCGUAUCGUGAUAGGGAUAGAUCAUUGCAAUUAUUAAUCUUCAACGAGAAAUGCCUAGUAAACGCAAGUCAUCAGCUUGCAUUGAUUACGUCCCUGCCCUUUGUACACACCGCCCGUCGCACCUACCGAUUGAAUGGUCCGGUGAAUUCUUCGGACUGUGGCUUUGGAUCGGUUUCGGCCGAGACGCUGCCGUGGGAAGUUGUUUAAACCUUACCAUUUAGAGGAAGGUGAANUCGUANCA